Molecule: long non-coding RNA, 330 nt
Organism: Astatotilapia calliptera (eastern happy)
Lineage: Eukaryota; Metazoa; Chordata; Actinopteri; Cichliformes; Cichlidae
Source: Ensembl
AGCAUCUCACAUCAAGAAUUUUCCACAGAGAAGGACAAGUGCUGAAGCUCUGGCUGGGCACGGUGACAGGAUGCUUUCUGAUGCCCUGGGUUUGGAUGCAGGUUUGGGAGAGGGCAGAGGGUAUUCAGAGUCAUACCUGUGAGGCAGUCUGCGAGGAAAUGUGCUGACAUCAGAGAUUUGCAUUUUAAAGCCAGGGGAUAGAAGAGGAGGAUACUUCAGCAGAAGAAGCUGAGUUUGCAUAGAUCAGAUCAGGUGAGUCUGUAUUCAGAAUGACUUCUCAUAUCAAUGCUAAUCUGUUAAUUAAAGACCCAGUCUCAUCCUGGAACAUAC